RNAcentral lists this ribosomal RNA (433 nucleotides) under uncultured bacterium. RNAcentral describes it as "partial 16S ribosomal RNA". It matches the Rfam family "Bacterial small subunit ribosomal RNA", at positions 29 to 507 of the family's 1533-position model. The record is from RNAcentral.
AAUGAACGCUGGCGGCAUGCCUAACACAUGCAAGUCGAACGAAGGCUUCGGCCUUAGUGGCGCACGGGUGCGUAACGCGUGGGAAUCUACCCUUAGGUUCGGAAUAACAGUUGGAAACGACUGCUAAUACCGGAUGAUGACGUAAGUCCAAAGAUUUAUCGCCUAGGGAUGAGCCCGCGUAGGAUUAGCUAGUUGGUGUGGUAAAGGCGCACCAAGGCGACGAUCCUUAGCUGGUCUGAGAGGAUGAUCAGCCACACUGGGACUGAGACACGGCCCAGACUCCUACGGGAGGCAGCAGUGGGGAAUAUUGGACAAUGGGCGAAAGCCUGAUCCAGCAAUGCCGCGUGAGUGAUGAAGGCCUUAGGGUUGUAAAGCUCUUUUACCCGGGAUGAUAAUGACAGUACCGGGAGAAUAAGCUCCGGCUAACUCCGUG